RNAcentral lists this long non-coding RNA (630 nucleotides) under Linum usitatissimum (flax). Its description in RNAcentral is "long non-coding RNA (LUSI_LNC007655)". The record is from RNAcentral. Lineage: Eukaryota; Viridiplantae; Streptophyta; Magnoliopsida; Malpighiales; Linaceae.
ACAAUUCACAAUUAUACUCACCAAAAUUAAGAGAAUCGUUAAUUAAGGAGAGAAACCUUCGAAAACCAUGGAGAAAUCUCAAGUGAAAUCGGUCUUUUUCGUGGUUUUCUUGAUUUUCGCAGCUAGCACAUGUGAGACCUCGUUUUAUUUACAUUAUGAACUCGGUUUGCACUUAUUUUUCAUUCUUCUUCUUCACUGUUUUGCACGGUUAGUUGACUUUUGGAUUUGAAAUCACGACCGUGGAUUUCGGUGGAUGCAGGUGAGAAGAAUGUUGGAGUUGAAGGCUCACUGGACUUAACUCCAUGCAAGACGCAAUGCAAACCGCAUUGUCAAUGCAUCGACGGGGCGUGUAUUUGCCGUGAAGAUGAACUGUUGCUAGAUUCCAAGGGGCUCAGACCAAAUCUCAUAUGAUAUAACUACACCAUGGGAAAAGAAUCGAUUUAUGUUGAGUUGUGAUGUUAUGAACGUACUAAUAAGAUGAUUUCAUGAUAUAUAUGUGUUAGAGAUCGGCAUGCAAUAAAAGAUAAAACAAAACAGAGACUAUGGCUUAGAUGAACCCGAACGAGAAAUGUUGAGCGCACGAGGCAGAGAUCGUGACAGCAAACAAUACCGAAAGUAAAAUGCGAGGGC